CAGCACCUCAAGUGGUCAGGAUGAUUAUUGGGCCUAAAGCAUCCGUAGCCGGCGCUGUAAGUUUUCGGUUAAAUCUGUACGCUCAACGUACAGGCUGCCGGGAAUACUGCAGCGCUAGGGAGUGGGAGAGGUAGACGGUACUCGGUAGGAAGGGGUAAAAUCCUUUGAUCUAUUGAUGACCACCUGUGGCGAAGGCGGUCUACCAGAACACGUCCGACGGUGAGGGAUGAAAGCUGGGGGAGCAAAACGGAUUAGAUACCAGAGUAGUCC
Molecule: ribosomal RNA, 270 nt
Filed under: uncultured archaeon
Lineage: Archaea
Description: partial 16S ribosomal RNA
Rfam family: Archaeal small subunit ribosomal RNA
Source: RNAcentral